Molecule: ribosomal RNA, 777 nt
Filed under: uncultured Neocallimastigales
Lineage: Eukaryota; Fungi; Neocallimastigomycota; Neocallimastigomycetes; Neocallimastigales
Description: partial large subunit ribosomal RNA
Rfam family: Eukaryotic large subunit ribosomal RNA
Source: RNAcentral
GUAGUCUCGCACAGAUGCAUAUCAAUAAGCGGAGGAAAAGAAACUAACAAGGAUUCCCCUAGUAACGGCGAGUGAAGCGGGAAGAGCUCAAAUUUGAAAUCUUAAAGGGUUUCCCUUUACGAAUUGUAGUUUAAAGAAGUGUUUUCUGUUGAGGUUUUGGUAAAAGUUCUUUGGAAUAGGACAUCAUAGAGGGUGAGAAUCCCGUAUUUGACCUUUACUUUCAACUUUGUGAUACACUUUCAAAGAGUCGGAUUGUUUGGGAAUGCAGUCCAAAAUGGGUGGUAAAUUUCAUCUAAAGCUAAAUAUUGGCGAGAGACCGAUAGCGAACAAGUACCGUGAGGGAAAGAUGAAAAGAACUUUGAAAAGAGAGUUAAACAGUACGUGAAAUUGUCAAAAGGGAAGCGUUUGACACCAGUGUGUUGUUUUUUCUGAAAAUCAAUUAAAGAACUGUUUAUGCUAAGUUGUUUAGACUUUAUCAGCUAACUGUUUAGUUUUGAGCUUUUCUUUAAUGCACUUUUCAGUUAACAAGUCAACAUCAAUUUCUGUUGCUGUAAAAAAGCUUGAGGAAGGUGGCUUGAGAUUCGUCUUAAGUGUUUAUAGCCUCUUGCCUAUGCAGUCGGAGAGAUUGAGGUCUGCAGCGUAGAUCCUUCGGGACUAAAUGCAUUUGUGCUAAGUUAUAACAUUUUAUAGACAACUUGUUGACUAUGAUUUGUCUUGUAGCUUACUCGCUUAUGUUAUUCUACCUACGCUUAGGAUGUUGAUCUGUAGUGCGUGCGC